AUUAAACGCUGGCGGAAUGCUUUACACAUGCAAGUCGAACGGUAGAGGGGGCAACCCCUCGAGAGUGGCGAACGGGUGAGUAAUAUAUCGGAACGUGCCCAGUCGUGGGGGAUAACGUAGCGAAAGUUACGCUAAUACCGCAUACGAUCUAAGGAUGAAAGCGGGGGAUCGCAAGACCUCGCGCGAUUGGAGCGGCCGAUAUCAGAUUAGGUAGUUGGUGGGGUAAAGGCUCACCAAGCCAACGAUCUGUAGCUGGUCUGAGAGGACGACCAGCCAAACUGGAACUGAGACACGGUCCAGACUCCUACGGGAGGCAGCAGGGGGGAAUUUUGGACAAUGGACGCAAGUCUGAUCCAGCCAUUCCGCGUGCAGGAUGAAGGCCCUCGGGUUGAAAACUGCUUUUGUACGGAACGAAAAGGUCUCUCUUAAUACGGGGGACUCAUGACGGUACCGUAAGAAUAAGCACCGGCUAACUACGUGCCAGCAGCCGCCGUAA
This 496-nucleotide ribosomal RNA is filed under the name uncultured bacterium. Its description in RNAcentral is "partial 16S ribosomal RNA". It matches the Rfam family "Bacterial small subunit ribosomal RNA", at positions 30 to 523 of the family's 1533-position model. The record is from RNAcentral.